GCCCUUGUAGCUCAGUUGGUAGAGCGCGUCUUUGGUAAAGACGAGGUCUCGGGUCCGAUUCCCGACGAGGGCUCAA
RNAcentral lists this transfer RNA (76 nucleotides) under Candidatus Shapirobacteria bacterium CG09_land_8_20_14_0_10_39_12. Its description in RNAcentral is "tRNA-Thr". It matches the Rfam family "tRNA". Rfam says of the family: Transfer RNA (tRNA) molecules are approximately 80 nucleotides in length. Their secondary structure includes four short double-helical elements and three loops (D, anti-codon, and T loops). Lineage: Bacteria; Candidatus Shapironibacteriota. The record is from RNAcentral.